GACGAACGCUGGCGGCGUGCUUAACACAUGCAAGUCGAACGGAAAGGCCUGUCCUUCCUUGUGUUGGACGGGUACUCGAGUGGCGAACGGGUGAGUAACACGUGAGUGAUCUGCCCCCAACUUGGGUAUAAGCCUGGGAAACUGGGUCUAAUUCCCGAUAGGACUGCAGGGUGGUGCCUGUGGUGGAAAACGAUUUUCUAGUGGUUGGGGAUGAGCUCGCGGCCUAUCAGCUUGUUGGUGGGGUAAUGGCCUACCAAGGCGGCGACGGGUAGCCGGCCUGAGAGGGUGGACGGCCACAUUGGGACUGAGAUACGGCCCAGACUCCUACGGGAGGCAGCAGUGGGGAAUAUUGCACAAUGGGCGGAAGCCUGAUGCAGCGACGCCGCGUGGGGGAUGACGGCCCUCGGGUUGUAAACUCCUUUCGACCGCGAGGAAGCCGCCUGGUUGGAAGGGUGGUGACGGUAGUGGUAGAAGAAGCACCGGCUAACUACGUG
This 494-nucleotide ribosomal RNA is filed under the name uncultured bacterium. RNAcentral describes it as "partial 16S ribosomal RNA". It matches the Rfam family "Bacterial small subunit ribosomal RNA", at positions 28 to 507 of the family's 1533-position model. The record is from RNAcentral.